This is a non-coding RNA of Caenorhabditis elegans, 65 nucleotides long. Lineage: Eukaryota; Metazoa; Nematoda; Chromadorea; Rhabditida; Rhabditidae. The record is from Ensembl.
UGUGUGUCUCACGUUGGAACGGCAUGCAAGAAGGACACAACAACGCUGCACACUACACGCAGAUG